Molecule: long non-coding RNA, 1216 nt
Organism: Tachysurus fulvidraco (yellow catfish)
Lineage: Eukaryota; Metazoa; Chordata; Actinopteri; Siluriformes; Bagridae
Exons: 3
Source: RefSeq, a predicted model, not a curated record
AGCACUGUUUGUUUUACCCAAAUAUGUUUUGUUAAAAUAACACACAUACAUUUCAUUCCCCAUCAAAACACUAUUGUAUUGCGUUUAAUUAACUUAAAAUGUGUCAUGUUCCACUAUACUUAAUAAUCAGUCGUUAAACUAACGUAAAGCAUUUAAUUUCGCGAUUCAAAAAACCGGAAGUGACGAUUUCCAACGUAUUGGAUGAAAACAGCGCGAAAGAGGGAAGAUGGUGAAUCGUGUCAGACGAGGUUUUUGGAAAGCACUUUGAAACGACUGAUGACAUCGAAGUGAGGAGAGUGUGUAUAAUUGAAGCUCUUUGUGCCUACCUAAAUGAAGAACCUACCAGACUGUUUCAGGAGUGUUUUGAUACAGACAAUGCCACUGCAGAGGAGGCGAUCCAGGAUAUAUGGCAUUUAAUAAUUGUUAGACAUCGUUACACUACCAUCUGGACAUUUUGGUUGCAUGUUUGAUUUCUUUUUUUUUUUUUUCUUUUUUUUUUUUUUUUUUACUUCUUGUAAAUGUAUUUUAUUUAAUUGUAGUUAUCUUGUUAGCCGAGUUUUAAUUUUCACCUUCUGACUUUGUUUUUGAAUCAAAAGACUGCAGUUAUUUUAGAUAAUCUUAUAUUUUGCAUAAGAAUUUUGCACAUGUUCAAAAACUCAUAUUUAUAUAUUCUUAUAUACAUAUUAUAUAUAAAUAUAUAUACUCAUAUAUAUUUACUGAGCAGGCUGUUUAAAACACUGUUUAUUGCAAGUUUGGCAAAUACAGCUUUAUAAAUUGUUACAUUUCUUUGUGGGUUUUUUUACUCUACAAGACAAUCACACACAAACAAAUGCUGUUUUGAAGGGCGUAACUUUAAAUCGAAAUCAUUGAGUAACAGUAACAAAAGCCAAUUGGAUGGAACCACUGUCCAUAAUUUAAUUGAGUUAUUUGAAACUAAUCUCCUUGUGUUGGCUGAAUUAAACCUGUUUGGCCAAUUUUAAAUAAACAAAAUUAUGUCCAGUUAACUUAAACAGUUUAAAUUACAAGGAAGCAAUUCCAUUGAUUUGUUUGGACAUUACUUUUUUACAUAGAUUCAUCCUUAUUCUGUUGUGUUGUCACAACACAAGAAGUUUACAUAGGUUCAAAACCUUCCAUUAAUGUUAAUGAAACGCAAGUUGCUUGUGUGGAACCACUGUCCAUAAUUGAAUUAAGUAAGAUGAACAAAUCGUUUUUUUGA